AUUGAACGCUGGCGGCAGGCCUAACACAUGCAAGUCGAGCGAGCGGCGCACGGGUGAGUAAUGUCUGGGAAUUGCCCAGUCGAGGGGGAUAACAGUUGGAAACUACUGCUAAAACCGCAUACGACUGGAUCCCCUAGGUGGGAUUAGGUGGUUGGUGGGGUAAUGGCUCACCAAGGCGACGACCCCUAGCUGGUCUGAGAGGAUGACCAGCAACACUGGAACUGAGACACGGUCCAGACUCCUACGGGAGGCAGCAGUGGGGAAUAUUGCACAAUGGGGGAAACCCUGAUGCAGCCAUGCCGCGUGUAUGAAGAAGGCCUUCGGGUUGUAAAGCACUUUCAGCGGGGAGGCGUUACUCGCAGAAGAAGCACCGGCUAACUCCGUGCCAGCAGCCGCGGUAAUAC
This 404-nucleotide ribosomal RNA is filed under the name uncultured bacterium. RNAcentral's name for it is "partial 16S ribosomal RNA". It matches the Rfam family "Bacterial small subunit ribosomal RNA", at positions 30 to 526 of the family's 1533-position model. The record is from RNAcentral.